RNAcentral lists this microRNA precursor (62 nucleotides) under Oncorhynchus kisutch (coho salmon). RNAcentral describes it as "mir-728 microRNA precursor family". It matches the Rfam family "mir-728 microRNA precursor family". RNAcentral also lists the same sequence under 5 other names. Lineage: Eukaryota; Metazoa; Chordata; Actinopteri; Salmoniformes; Salmonidae. The record is from Rfam by way of RNAcentral.
AAAUGUAGUAGACUAUAAGUAUACAUGAAAUAUGCUGAGUAUACUAAGUACACUACGUUUUC